Molecule: ribosomal RNA, 492 nt
Filed under: uncultured bacterium
Lineage: Bacteria
Description: partial 16S ribosomal RNA
Rfam family: Bacterial small subunit ribosomal RNA
Source: RNAcentral
AGUGAACGCUGGCGGUAGGCCUAACACAUGCAAGUCGAACGGCAGCACAGUAAGAGCUUGCUCUUACGGGUGGCGAGUGGCGGACGGGUGAGGAAUACAUCGGAAUCUACUUUUUCGUGGGGGAUAACGUAGGGAAACUUACGCUAAUACCGCAUACGACCUACGGGUGAAAGCAGGGGAUCUUCGGACCUUGCGCGAUUGAAUGAGCCGAUGUCGGAUUAGCUAGUUGGCGGGGUAAGGGCCCACCAAGGCGACGAUCCGUAGCUGGUCUGAGAGGAUGAUCAGCCACACUGGAACUGAGACACGGUCCAGACUCCUACGGGAGGCAGCAGUGGGGAAUAUUGGACAAAGGGCGCAAGCCUGAUCCAGCCAUACCGCGUGGGUGAAGAAGGCCUUCGGGUUGUAAAGCCCUUUUGUUGGGAAAGAAAGGCAGCAGGUUAAUACCCCGCUGUUCUGACGGUACCCAAAGAAUAAGCACCGGCUAACUUCGUG